UGUUUCUUUGUUUGGAGUCUGACGUAAGUCCAGCGAUUGGCAGUCGGUUUCCUGUGUGAGUUUUUGGUUUGGAGUCUGACGUAAGUCCAGCGAUUGGCAGUCGGUUUCUUGUUUGUGUUUUGUUUGGCGUGUGUUAGCCGAGCUACGAGUGCUCUGAUUCUUCCUCUGGUUAGAGAAGAUACGUAUGCAUAGGAUGCGAUAUCCUAGCGAGCACGUUUCCCGUUUCCCCGAACUACGUCGACUCUGAUGUUUGUGUCUAACAAACUACGUAGGCCCA
This 277-nucleotide long non-coding RNA is filed under the name Lathyrus oleraceus (garden pea). Its description in RNAcentral is "Pisum sativum (pea) long non-coding RNA (PSAT_LNC002276)". Lineage: Eukaryota; Viridiplantae; Streptophyta; Magnoliopsida; Fabales; Fabaceae. The record is from RNAcentral.